GCCCCUGUAGCUCAAUGGACAGAGCACCUGCCUUCUAAGCAGUUGGCUGAGAGUUCGAAUCUCUCCAGGGGCGCCU
RNAcentral lists this transfer RNA (76 nucleotides) under Anaerolinea thermophila UNI-1. RNAcentral's name for it is "tRNA-Arg". It matches the Rfam family "tRNA". From Rfam's summary of the family: Transfer RNA (tRNA) molecules are approximately 80 nucleotides in length. Lineage: Bacteria; Bacillati; Chloroflexota; Anaerolineae; Anaerolineales; Anaerolineaceae. The record is from RNAcentral.